AUUUAACGCUGGCGGCAUGCCUUACACAUGCAAGUCGAACGGCAGCACGGGAGCAAUCCUGGUGGCGAGUGGCGAACGGGUGAGUAAAGUAUCGGAACGUGCCCAGUCGUGGGGGAUAACGUCGCGAAAGUUACGCUCAUACCGCAUACGAUCUAUCGAUGAAAGCGGGCGAUCGCAAGACCUUGCGCGACUGGAGCGGCCGAUAUCAGAUUAGGUAGUUGGUGGGGUAAAGGCUCACCAAGCCGACGAUCUGUAGCUGGUCUGAGAGGACGACCCGCCACACUGGGACUGGGACACGGGCCAGAAUCCUACGGGAGGCAGCAGUGGGGAAUUUUGGACAAUGGGCGAAAGCCUGAUCCGGCCAUGCCGCGUGCAGGAUGAAGGCCUUCGGGUUGUAAACUGCUUUUGUACGGAACGAAAAGGUUUGGGCUAAUAAGCUGAGCUCAUGACGGUACCGUAAGAAUAAGCACCGGCUAACUACGUGCCAGCAGCCGCGGUAA
RNAcentral lists this ribosomal RNA (500 nucleotides) under uncultured bacterium. RNAcentral describes it as "partial 16S ribosomal RNA". It matches the Rfam family "Bacterial small subunit ribosomal RNA", at positions 30 to 523 of the family's 1533-position model. The record is from RNAcentral.